This 40-nucleotide transfer RNA is filed under the name Colinus virginianus (northern bobwhite). RNAcentral's name for it is "partial tRNA-Phe". Lineage: Eukaryota; Metazoa; Chordata; Aves; Galliformes; Odontophoridae. The record is from RNAcentral.
CCCACAUAGCUUAACCCAAAGCAUGACACUGAAGAUGUUA